This 555-nucleotide ribosomal RNA is filed under the name uncultured Glomus. RNAcentral's name for it is "SSU rRNA". It matches the Rfam family "Eukaryotic small subunit ribosomal RNA", at positions 548 to 1103 of the family's 1831-position model. Lineage: Eukaryota; Fungi; Glomeromycota; Glomeromycetes; Glomerales; Glomeraceae. The record is from RNAcentral.
UUGGAGGGCAAGUCUGGUGCCAGCAGCCGCGGUAAUUCCAGCUCCAAUAGCGUAUAUUAAAGUUGUUGCAGUUAAAAAGCUCGUAGUUGAAUUUCGGGAUCAAUGUUUCGGUCAUGCCCUUGGUAUGUACUGAUAUUAUUGGUUUCUCACCUUCUAAAGAACCGUAAUGCCAUUAAUUCGGUGUCACGGGGAAUUAGGACUGUUACCUUGAAAAAAUUAGAGUGUUUAAAGCAGGCUCACGCUUGAAUACAUUAGCAUGGAAUAAUGAAAUAGGACAUCCGAUUCUAUUUUGUUGGUUUCUAGGAUCGAUGUAAUGAUUAAUAGGGAUAGUUGGGGGCAUUAGUAUUCAAUUGUCAGAGGUGAAAUUCUUGGAUUUAUUGAAGACUAACUACUGCGAAAGCAUUUGCCAAGGAUGUUUUCAUUAAUCAAGAACGAAAGUUAGGGGAUCGAAGACGAUCAGAUACCGUCGUAGUCUUAACCAUAAACUAUGCCGACUAGGGAUCGGAUGAUGUUAAUUUUUUAAUGACUCAUUCGGCGCCUUACGGGAAACCAAAG